CUUCUGCCAAAACCCAAAUUUUCUAUGGUUGACCUCGGAUCAGGUAGGGAUACCCGCUGAACUUAAGCAUAUCAAAAGCCGGAGGAAAG
This 89-nucleotide ribosomal RNA is filed under the name Sclerotinia sclerotiorum. RNAcentral describes it as "partial 28S ribosomal RNA". Lineage: Eukaryota; Fungi; Ascomycota; Leotiomycetes; Helotiales; Sclerotiniaceae. The record is from RNAcentral.